UAGCUCACGUCAAUAAUCUGCCCACCUACGCACCUCUAUCCCGCAUCUGAAAAACUCAAAGGCAUUGGUGGGGGGCCCUCUCAAGCAGCGGAGCCUGUGGUUUAAGCACGCAACACAAAGAACCUUCUCUUGGCCGGUGAGAGUGACCUGCACCGCCGCAAAAAGACGACCGCCUUCAACGGUCCGCCACGCGGUGCUGCAAUGGCUGCCGUCAUGCUCCGUGUCGUCAAAUGUGGGGUUCAGUCCCGCAACGAGCGCAACCCGCGGCGGGAGUAACUCGUGUCUACCGAGACCUCGCGCCGUGACCGGCGGAGGAAGGCGCGGAUAUCGUAAAGUCAGCAUGGCCCUUACGCCCAGGGGCGACACACACGCUACAAUGGCCACGACAAUGCGUGACCAAGCCCAAGGCGGAGCUAACCGCCAAAACGUGGUCUCAGUGCAGAUACGGGGGCCUCCCCAACUACGCCCCACGCUGAAGGCGGAGUUGCUAGUAUCCCCGUAAGGGCG
Molecule: ribosomal RNA, 507 nt
Filed under: uncultured bacterium
Lineage: Bacteria
Description: bacterial SSU rRNA
Rfam family: Bacterial small subunit ribosomal RNA
Source: RNAcentral